ACUCCUACGGGAGGCAGCAGUAGGGAAUCUUCCACAAUGGGCGCAAGCCUGAUGGAGCAACACCGCGUGAGUGAAGAAGGGUUUCGGCUCGUAAAGCUCUGUUGUUAAAGAAGAACACGUAUGAGAGUAACUGUUCAUACGUUGACGGUAUUUAACCAGAAAGUCACGGCUAACUACGUGCCAGCAGCCGCGGUAAUACGUAGGCGGCAAGCGUUAUCCGGAUUUAUUGGGCGUAAAGAGAGUGCAGGCGGUUUUCUAAGUCUGAUGUGAAAGCCUUCGGCUUAACCGGAGAAGUGCAUCGGAAACUGGAUAACUUGAGUGCAGAAGAGGGUAGUGGAACUCCAUGUGUAGCGGUGGAAUGCGUAGAUAUAUGGAAGAACACCAGUGGCGAAGGCGGCUACCUGGUCUGCAACUGACGCUGAGACUCGAAAGCAUGGGUAGCGAACAGGAUUAGAUACCCUGGUAGGAUAGCG
This 473-nucleotide ribosomal RNA is filed under the name uncultured bacterium. Its description in RNAcentral is "bacterial SSU rRNA". It matches the Rfam family "Bacterial small subunit ribosomal RNA", at positions 335 to 801 of the family's 1533-position model. The record is from RNAcentral.